This 254-nucleotide ribosomal RNA is filed under the name uncultured bacterium. Its description in RNAcentral is "partial 16S ribosomal RNA". It matches the Rfam family "Bacterial small subunit ribosomal RNA", at positions 524 to 776 of the family's 1533-position model. The record is from RNAcentral.
UACGGAGGGGGCUAGCGUUGUUCGGAAUUACUGGGCGUAAAGCGCACGUAGGCGGCUUUGUAAGUCGGGUGUGAAAGCCCCGGGCUCAACCUGGGAAUUGCAUUCGAGACUGAAUAGCUAGGGUACGGUAGAGGGAAGUGGAAUUUCCGGUGUAGCGGUGAAAUGCGUAGAUAUCGGAAGGAACAUCAGUGGCGAAGGCGGUUCUCUGGGCAUUACCUGACGCUGAGGAGCGAAAAAUGUGGGGAGCGAACAGG